Molecule: ribosomal RNA, 2897 nt
Filed under: Haemophilus influenzae
Lineage: Bacteria; Pseudomonadati; Pseudomonadota; Gammaproteobacteria; Pasteurellales; Pasteurellaceae
Description: bacterial LSU rRNA
Rfam family: Bacterial large subunit ribosomal RNA
Source: RNAcentral
UUAAGUGACUAAGCGUACAAGGUGGAUGCCUUGGCAAUCAGAGGCGAAGAAGGACGUGCUAAUCUGCGAAAAGCUUGGAUGAGUCGAUAAGAGGCGUUUAAUCCAAGAUAUCCGAAUGGGGAAACCCAGUAGAUGAAGAAUCUACUAUCAACAAGUGAAUUCAUAGCUUGUUGAGGCAAACCGGGAGAACUGAAACAUCUAAGUACCCCGAGGAAAAGAAAUCAACCGAGAUUUCGUCAGUAGCGGCGAGCGAAAGCGAAAGAGCCAGUAAGUGAUAACAGUAUGGUUAGGAGAAUGUGUUGGGAAGCACAAUCAAAGAGGGUGAUAAUCCCGUAUCUAAAAACCAUAUUGUGGUACUAAGCUAACGAGAAGUAGGGCGGGACACGUGAUAUCCUGUUUGAAGAAGGGGGGACCAUCCUCCAAGGCUAAAUACUCCUGAUUGACCGAUAGUGAACCAGUACUGUGAAGGAAAGGCGAAAAGAACCCCGGUGAGGGGAGUGAAAUAGAACCUGAAACCUUGUACGUACAAGCAGUGGGAGCCUGAAAGGGUGACUGCGUACCUUUUGUAUAAUGGGUCAGCGACUUAUAUUUUGUAGCGAGGUUAACUGAAUAAGGGAGCCGAAGGGAAACCGAGUCUUAACUGGGCGAAGAGUUGCAAGGUAUAGACCCGAAACCCGGUGAUCUAGCCAUGGGCAGGUUGAAGGUUGGGUAACACUAACUGGAGGACCGAACCGACUAAUGUUGAAAAAUUAGCGGAUGACUUGUGGCUGGGGGUGAAAGGCCAAUCAAACCGGGAGAUAGCUGGUUCUCCCCGAAAUCUAUUUAGGUAGAGCCUUGAGGUGACACCUUUGGGGGUAGAGCACUGUUUCGGCUAGGGGUCCAUCCCGGAUUACCAACCCGAUGCAAACUACGAAUACCAAAGAGUGAUACUCAGGAGACACACGGCGGGUGCUAACGUCCGUCGUGGAGAGGGAAACAACCCAGACCGCCAGCUAAGGUCCCCAAGUCUAUAUUAAGUGGGAAACGAAGUGGGAAGGCUUAGACAGCUAGGAUGUUGGCUUAGAAGCAGCCAUCAUUUAAAGAAAGCGUAAUAGCUCACUAGUCGAGUCGGCCUGCGCGGAAGAUGUAACGGGGCUAAAAUAUAGCACCGAAGCUGCGGCAUCAGACGAAAGUCUGUUGGGUAGGGGAGCGUUCUGUAAGCGGAUGAAGGUUAAUCGAGAGGUUAGCUGGACGUAUCAGAAGUGCGAAUGCUGACAUAAGUAACGAUAAAACGGGUGAAAAACCCGUUCGCCGGAAGACCAAGGGUUCCUGUCCAACGUUAAUCGGGGCAGGGUGAGUCGGCCCCUAAGGCGAGGCUGAAAAGCGUAGUCGAUGGGAAACAGGUUAAUAUUCCUGUACUUGGUAAAGCUGCGAUGUGGGGACGGAGUAGGUUAGGUUAUCGCACUGUUGGAUAUGUGCGUUUAAGUUGGUAGGUGGGAAGUUUAGGCAAAUCCGGACUUCUAUUAAACACUGAGAGAUGAUGACGAGGCUCUACGGAGCUGAAGUAACUGAUACCACACUUCCAGGAAAAGCCACUAAGCGACAGGCUUUACUAAACCGUACUGAAAACCGACACAGGUGGUCAGGUAGAGAAUACUCAGGCGCUUGAGAGAACUCGGGUGAAGGAACUAGGCAAAAUAGCACCGUAACUUCGGGAGAAGGUGCGCCGGCGUAGAUUGUAGUCCCUCGCGGGCGAAGGUUGAACCGGUCGAAGAUACCAGCUGGCUGCAACUGUUUAUUAAAAACACAGCACUCUGCAAACACGAAAGUGGAGGUAUAGGGUGUGAUGCCUGCCCGGUGCUGGAAGGUUAAUUGAUGGUGUAAUCGCAAGAGAAGCACCUGAUCGAAGCCCCAGUAAACGGCGGCCGUAACUAUAACGGUCCUAAGGUAGCGAAAUUCCUUGUCGGGUAAGUUCCGACCUGCACGAAUGGCAUAAUGAUGGCCAGGCUGUCUCCACCCGAGACUCAGUGAAAUUGAAAUCGCCGUGAAGAUGCGGUGUACCCGCGGCUAGACGGAAAGACCCCGUGAACCUUUACUAUAGCUUGACACUGAACAUUGAAUUUUGAUGUGUAGGAUAGGUGGGAGACUUAGAAGUAGUCACGCCAGUGAUUAUGGAGUCAUCCUUGAAAUACCACCCUUUAACGUUUGAUGUUCUAACGAAGAUUGCGGAACGCGGUCUCGGACAGUGUCUGGUGGGUAGUUUGACUGGGGCGGUCUCCUCCCAAAGCGUAACGGAGGAGCACGAAGGUUUGCUAAUCACGGUCGGACAUCGUGAGGUUAGUGCAAUGGUAUAAGCAAGCUUAACUGCGAGACAGACAAGUCGAGCAGGUACGAAAGUAGGUCAUAGUGAUCCGGUGGUUCUGAAUGGAAGGGCCAUCGCUCAACGGAUAAAAGGUACUCCGGGGAUAACAGGCUGAUACCGCCCAAGAGUUCAUAUCGACGGCGGUGUUUGGCACCUCGAUGUCGGCUCAUCACAUCCUGGGGCUGAAGUAGGUCCCAAGGGUAUGGCUGUUCGCCAUUUAAAGUGGUACGCGAGCUGGGUUUAGAACGUCGUGAGACAGUUCGGUCCCUAUCUGCCGUGGGCGUAGGAGAAUUGGUUGGGGCUGCUCCUAGUACGAGAGGACCGGAGUGGACGCACCACUGGUGUUCCGGUUGUGUCGCCAGACGCAUUGCCGGGUAGCUAAGUGCGGAAGAGAUAAGUGCUGAAAGCAUCUAAGCACGAAACUUGCCAAGAGAUGAGUUCUCCCUGUCUUUAAGACAGUAAGGGUUGUUUAAGACGAAGACGUAGAUAGGUCUGGUGUGUAAGUGAUGUGAGUCAUUGAGCUAACAGAUACUAAUUGCCCGAGAGGCUUAACUAU